Molecule: ribosomal RNA, 482 nt
Filed under: Metschnikowia gruessii
Lineage: Eukaryota; Fungi; Ascomycota; Pichiomycetes; Serinales; Metschnikowiaceae
Description: eukaryotic LSU rRNA
Rfam family: Eukaryotic large subunit ribosomal RNA
Source: RNAcentral
UGGCCUCCUCCUCAUUUUCGUAGGACUACCCGCUGAACUUAAGCAUAUCAAUAAGCGGAGGAAAAGAAACCAACAGGGAUUGCCUCAGUAACGGCGAGUGAAGCGGCAAAAGCUCAAAUUUGAAAUCCCCCGGGAAUUGUAAUUUGAAGGUUGGGGAAAAAGUAACGUGUUCUUCUAAGUCUAUUGGAAAAUGGCGCCACAGAGGGUGAUAGCCCCGUCUGAUUCAACACAAUACAUAUCUUCCCCCUCCAAAGAGUCGAGUUGUUUGGGAAUGCAGCUCUAAGUGGGUGGUAAAUUCCAUCUAAAGCUAAAUAUUGGCGAGAGACCGAUAGCGAACAAGUACAGUGAUGGAAAGAUGAAAAGCACUUUGAAAAGAGAGUGAAAAAGUACGUGAAAUUGUUGAAAGGGAAGGGCUUGCAAGCAGACACAACUUUUUGUUGGGCCAGCAUCGGGGGAGUAGGAGGCAAAAAGGAGUAGAAAUG